Molecule: ribosomal RNA, 443 nt
Filed under: uncultured bacterium
Lineage: Bacteria
Description: partial 16S ribosomal RNA
Rfam family: Bacterial small subunit ribosomal RNA
Source: RNAcentral
CCUACGGGGGGCAGCAGUGGGGAAUAUUGGACAAUGGGGGGAACCCUGAUCCAGCGACGCCGCGUGAGUGAAGAAGUAUUUCGGUAUGUAAAGCUCUAUCAGCAGGGAAGAAAGAAAUGACGGUACCUGACUAAGAAGCCCCGGCUAACUACGUGCCAGCAGCCGCGGUAAUACGUAGGGGGCAAGUGUUAUCCGGAUUUACUGGGUGUAAAGGGGGCGUAGACGGCGAGGCAAGUCUGAAGUGAAAGGCGGGGGCCCAACCCCCGGACUGCUUUGGAAACUGUAUGGCUGGAGUGCAGGAGAGGUAAGUGGAAUUCCUAGUGUAGCGGUGAAAUGCGUAGAUAUUAGGAGGAACACCAGUGGCGAAGGCGGCUUACUGGACUGUAACUGACGUUGAGGCUCGAAAGCGUGGGGAGCAAACAGGAUUAGAUACCCUGGUAGUC